This 624-nucleotide ribosomal RNA is filed under the name Torulaspora delbrueckii. RNAcentral's name for it is "eukaryotic LSU rRNA". It matches the Rfam family "Eukaryotic large subunit ribosomal RNA", at positions 33 to 670 of the family's 3401-position model. The record is from RNAcentral. Lineage: Eukaryota; Fungi; Ascomycota; Saccharomycetes; Saccharomycetales; Saccharomycetaceae.
UUUGCCUUUCCAAUAAGCGGAGGAAAAGAAACCAACCGGGAUUGCCUUAGUAACGGCGAGUGAAGCGGCAAAAGCUCAAAUUUGAAAUCUGGUACCUUCGGUGCCCGAGUUGUAAUUUGUAGAAGGUAACUUUGGGGCUGGUCCUUGUCUAUGUUCCUUGGAACAGGACGUCAUAGAGGGUGAGAAUCCCGUGUGGCGAGGAUCCCAGUUCUUUGUAAAGUGCUUUCGAAGAGUCGAGUUGUUUGGGAAUGCAGCUCUAAGUGGGUGGUAAAUUCCAUCUAAAGCUAAAUAUUGGCGAGAGACCGAUAGCGAACAAGUACAGUGAUGGAAAGAUGAAAAGAACUUUGAAAAGAGAGUGAAAAAGUACGUGAAAUUGUUGAAAGGGAAGGGCAUUUGAUCAGACAUGGUGUUUUGCGCCCUCUGCUCCUUGUGGGUGGGGGAAUCUCGCAGCUCACUGGGCCAGCAUCAGUUUUGGCGGCAGGAUAAAUCUGCAGGAAUGUAGCUUGCCUCGGUAAGUGUUAUAUCCUGUAGAAAUACUGCCAGCUGGGACUGAGGACUGCGACUUUACGUCAAGGAUGCUGGCAUAAUGGUUAUAUGCCGCCCGUCUUGAACCACCGGACCAAA